AAUUCAAAACACAUCUCUGAGUUGUGAUUGGCCCGCCAGUUCUAAGACCUGGGGCAUUGAUCGAGGCUAGACCAAUCGCAGGCAAAAAUGAUUUUUGCCGCUGGCAGGUGGGGCCAGUUUACGCCAUAUAUUAGCUAAACGUCAUAUAUUAGAAUUACACGAGUAACGCAAUACCCCAACACUGGUCCUAACAGACAACACACUGAAGCAGAUGGCCUAAAGCAGCAGAGGACUACUCGUGAAGCUCAACUACAUCCAUCAAUGACAACAAGCUGACUGUACUUUAAAGGCCACUCUGACAGAGCACCUUUGGGAUGUGGUGCAACAGGACAUUCAGGUUAGGUGAUGCCAGGUUCCAGCUGGGAGUGCAAAACGUUGCUGCUUUGCAUGCAGACGGUAUCAAAUGAGCCAGCAAACAGACGGACUCCAAACACCUGAUCGCUGCGGACCAUCUGUGUUACCAGAAUAUAAAUGGACUGCUCUGUCCACAUCGUAAACCUUACAUCAGACACUUGCUUCAAUUUUCUCCUCAAUGAAUGGAAAGUAAUAGCAGCCACCCCCGCCCCCCAAAAAAACCUCCCCCCUCCCUCCAUGUAAGAAGGCAAAUUAAAAGAGCGACUCAAACAUGUAAUCGUCCAACUCAGUCAUUAUUCGCAGGAUCUGAAUGAAUCAUUCAGAAAAUCAAAUAAAGAGAGAAACGAGUCCAGCACCUAGAAA
This is a long non-coding RNA of Cyprinodon tularosa, 717 nucleotides long. RefSeq lists it as uncharacterized. The record is from RefSeq and is a predicted model, not a curated record. NCBI's taxonomy places the organism in Eukaryota, Metazoa, Chordata, Actinopteri, Cyprinodontiformes, Cyprinodontidae. The transcript is spliced from 3 exons.